RNAcentral lists this ribosomal RNA (200 nucleotides) under uncultured bacterium. RNAcentral's name for it is "partial 16S ribosomal RNA". It matches the Rfam family "Bacterial small subunit ribosomal RNA", at positions 524 to 723 of the family's 1533-position model. The record is from RNAcentral.
UACGAAGGGGCGAGCGUUGUUCGGAUUUACUGGGCGUAAAGGGCGCGUAGGCGGCCCUCUUUGUCGCGUGUGAAAGCCCCGGGCUCAACCUGGGAAUUGCGCGCGAAACGGGGGGGGCUUGAGUUCGGGAGAGGAGCGUGGAAUUCCCAGUGUAGAGGUGAAAUUCGUAGAUAUUGGGAAGAACACCGGUGGCGAAGGCG